Non-coding RNA from Elaeis guineensis (African oil palm), 382 nucleotides. The record is from RefSeq and is a predicted model, not a curated record. Lineage: Eukaryota; Viridiplantae; Streptophyta; Magnoliopsida; Arecales; Arecaceae.
ACUUCUCGCAUCUUUUUUUUUUUUUUACAAGAAAAAAGAUAAAAAGUGGAGUUGAAAACCAGUACUACAGACCGAAAAGUAGAAGUCAGGAUCAUGCAUUAUUAGAUUUGAAUAUGAAGGUUACAAGAGGAAAAUCAACAUCAACAGAUGGCGCUUUAGCAAGGGAUUUUUCAGAACAUAGAAAUUUUUGCUUGAAGGGUUUAAACAUUGCAGCCUCAUUUUCAGUUUGAUGAUGUGUUAAUUUUUUUUUAUUAUUUUUGUACAUUAGGAAUCUAUUACAAAUGUUAGAACUUCUUCGACAUGAUUAUUAUUCAGCAGACUUUCAUCACAUCUGGAAAAUAAAAUAUAGCUAGGAUCAAGUAUAUUUUCCUAGAUGAGCAAC